Molecule: ribosomal RNA, 775 nt
Filed under: uncultured Neocallimastigales
Lineage: Eukaryota; Fungi; Neocallimastigomycota; Neocallimastigomycetes; Neocallimastigales
Description: partial large subunit ribosomal RNA
Rfam family: Eukaryotic large subunit ribosomal RNA
Source: RNAcentral
CGCAUCUGUGCAUGCAGCAUAUCAAUAAGCGGAGGAAAAGAAACUAACAAGGAUUCCCCUAGUAACGGCGAGUGAAGCGGGAAGAGCUCAAAUUUGAAAUCUUAAAGGGUUUCCCUUUACGAAUUGUAGUUUAAAGAAGUGUUUUCUGUUGAGGUUUUGGUAAAAGUUCUUUGGAAUAGGACAUCAUAGAGGGUGAGAAUCCCGUAUUUGACCUUUACUUUCAACUUUGUGAUACACUUUCAAAGAGUCGGAUUGUUUGGGAGUGCAGUCCAAAAUGGGUGGUAAAUUUCAUCUAAAGCUAAAUAUUGGCGAGAGACCGAUAGCGAACAAGUACCGUGAGGGAAAGAUGAAAAGAACUUUGAAAAGAGAGUUAAACAGUACGUGAAAUUGUCAAAAGGGAAGCGUUUGACACCAGGUGUUGUUUUUCUGAAAAUCAAUUAAAGAACUGUUUAUGCUAAGUUGUUUAGACUUUAUCAGCUAUCUGUUUAGUUUUGAGCUUUUCUUUAAUGCACUUUUCAGUUAACAAGUCAACAUCAAUUUCUUUUGCUGUAAAAAAGCUUGAGGAAGGUGGCUUGAGAUUCGUCUUAAGUGUUUAUAGCCUCUUGCCUAUGCAGUCGGAGAGAUUGAGGUCUGCAGCGUAGAUCCUUCGGGGCUAAAUGCAUUUGUGCUAAGUUAUAGCAUUUUAUAGACAACUUGUUGACUAUGAUUUGUCUUGUAGCUUACUCGCUUAUGUUAUUUUACCUACGCUUAGGAUGUUGAAUCUGUGCGAGACUAC